GACGAACGCUGGCGGCGUGCUUAACACAUGCAAGUCGAACGGAUAGUCCCUGCUUGUGUGGGGUGCUCGAGUGGCGAACGGGUGAGUAACACGUGAGUAACCUGCCCUGUACUUUGGGAUAACUUCAGGAAACUGGGGCGAAUACCGGAUAUGAGCUCCUGCUGCAUGGUGUGGGUUGGAAAGUUUCGGCGGUUGGGGAUGUACUUGCGGCUUAUCAGCUUGUUGGUGGGGUAGUGGCUGACAAAGGCUUUGAGGGGUAGCCGGCCUGAGAGGGUGACCGGCCACAGUGGGCCUGGGAUGCGACCCAGACUCAUACGGGAGGCAGCAGUGGGGAACAUUGCACGAUGGGCGGAAGGAUGAUGCAGCAACGCCGCGUGCGGGAUGUCGGCCUUUGGGUUGUAAACCGCUUUCGCCUGUAACGAAGAGUGCGUGACGGUAACUGAUAAAGAAGCACCGGCUAACUACGUG
Molecule: ribosomal RNA, 468 nt
Filed under: uncultured bacterium
Lineage: Bacteria
Description: partial 16S ribosomal RNA
Rfam family: Bacterial small subunit ribosomal RNA
Source: RNAcentral